Canis lupus familiaris (dog) is the source of this 898-nucleotide long non-coding RNA. RefSeq lists it as uncharacterized. The record is from RefSeq and is a predicted model, not a curated record. Lineage: Eukaryota; Metazoa; Chordata; Mammalia; Carnivora; Canidae. The transcript is spliced from 4 exons.
GAUGUGGGACUCGAUCCCGGGUCUCCAGGAUCACACCCCAGGCUGCAGGCGGCGCUAAACCACUGUGCCACCGGGGCUGCCCAGUAUCUCUCAUUCUGUAUGCAAUUCUGACAAUCUGAUCUUGACACUCCCCUGAGAAGGGGGGACCUAAGUCCUUUCCUCUUUUAUAUCUGUGCAGUUUUGUGACUCACGCGUAAACAAGAGAAUGUGGCAGAGGCGAUGCUGCAGGACUUCCAAGAUUAGGCAGAAAGGGCCACCCAGUUUCUGCCUGGGUCACUGGAAGACUCCACGACGCCUUCAGCCACCACUCAAGCAGUCAGGCUACCUUAGGCCACCAUGCUGUGGGGAAGCCCAAACUAGCAAGUGUGGCGACCACAUGGAGGGGUCUGACUCCAGAGAGAUGUCUGUUCAGCCCCCCAGAUGCCCUGAUUGCCCAGCUCAGCUUGGAUGCCUCCUCCUAGAGGCCCUCCCUGACCUCCCAGGGUGGCUCAGCUGCCCACUCUGGGCUUCCGUGGUCGUCCUCUGUUUCUCCCAUUCCCCCCAGCCCCGCCCACUCUGGGGUGUCACUAUCUGUCACCCAUUGACUGUGAGCCACCAGGAGGCAGUGACUGAUUGCUGCUGAUGAUCUACUAAGCAAGAGACUUACCACGAAUAAACAGUGCAUGGACAAGGAAAUAUCCAGAGAGUCUGGAUCUGUUUUUAGCUUCCCUGGCUGGUGUCACCGCCACCCCCCUUCCUGCUGGCUCACUUGUUUGCUGCGGUCGAAUAAUGUUCCCGGACUUCCUGAGCUGUUUGUUUGAAGACAGCCCUGUAUUGAUUGAAUCUAGUGUGUGCUCAGCCUGAGAUGCUAAGAGAGACUGGCCCCUCCCCAGCAGGCCAGGGGCUUGGAAAAUCCUGA